RNAcentral lists this transfer-messenger RNA (386 nucleotides) under Candidatus Nanosynbacter featherlites. RNAcentral's name for it is "Nanosynbacter featherlites Standard tmRNA". It matches the Rfam family "transfer-messenger RNA". Rfam says of the family: Bacterial tmRNA, also known as 10Sa RNA or SsrA, is named for its dual tRNA and mRNA-like properties. Its role is to liberate the mRNA from a stalled ribosome. The record is from RNAcentral. Lineage: Bacteria; Bacillati; Minisyncoccota; Nanosynbacteria; Nanosynbacterales; Nanosynbacteraceae.
GGGGCUGAAAUAGCGUUCGACAGUUGGACUUUAUCAAAAUAUUCUGCAAACCGAACAUGCACGAUACGCAUAUUGUUAAAUGCAAAAAACUUUGCAAGCAAAGUAGCUAGCCUAUUCAAGGCUCCAGCCUUUGCGCCAGCUGUAGCUUAAUCUAUAGCCAUCUCUUCGUAUAGGCAACAUGAUACGAUUUGAGGUGUCAGAAUUUAUGUUGCUCGCUAUGUAUUUGGAAGUGGCAAAUACAUGGGACUUUUGCCACGUAACAAGCUCGGUCUUUUGGGUUCGUUUAUUAUCCAAGCUAUGUUAUAAAACUGUAAAUGAUCCUAUGUUUGUAGACGAAUAUUUAUGAUACCAAUUGGACCCGGGGGCAGUACCCGGCAGCUCCACCA